UACGGGGGGUGCGAGCGUUGUCCGGAAUUAUUGGGCGUAAAGAGCUCGUAGGCGGUUUGUCGCGUCUGUCGUGAAAGCUUGGGGCUUAACCCCAAGUCUGCGGUGGAUACGGGCAGACUAGAGGCAGGUAGGGGAGAACGGAAUUCCCGGUGUAGCGGUGAAAUGCGCAGAUAUCGGGAGGAACACCGGUGGCGAAGGCGGUUCUCUGGGCCUGUACUGACGCUGAGGAGCGAAAGCGUGGGGAGCGAACAGG
RNAcentral lists this ribosomal RNA (253 nucleotides) under uncultured bacterium. RNAcentral's name for it is "partial 16S ribosomal RNA". It matches the Rfam family "Bacterial small subunit ribosomal RNA", at positions 524 to 776 of the family's 1533-position model. The record is from RNAcentral.